Long non-coding RNA from Cajanus cajan (pigeon pea), 1194 nucleotides. RefSeq lists it as uncharacterized. NCBI's taxonomy places the organism in Eukaryota, Viridiplantae, Streptophyta, Magnoliopsida, Fabales, Fabaceae. The record is from RefSeq and is a predicted model, not a curated record.
GAAUUGGUCCAAAAUUUUUAGUGAUUUGAGUGAACCCUUCUCUCUCUCUCUCUCACUAGGAAUUUUUUAUUAUAAAAAUAGUUGGCUGGGAGCAAACUUCUUAACUUGCUAUAUGGCAGGUCAUUGUAUAAGUUGAUGCCUAUAUGUUGCCUUUAUCUGCAUUUGCACCUGCACUUUACUCAGUUUCUCUGUAACAUAUAUAAGAACACAUGUCAGUUCAGAAAGAAGUGAAAUGUAUAUAGGAAUAGAGGAACUGAGAAUGAGGUGCAGGUACAUCUGCAGGUGAAUGCCAUAUUGGCCAUGAUUUCACUUUACUCAAGCUGUUUGUAACUUUGUAUGUGGUCAUCUAGUGAGGUUGCAGCAGCUGUUUGUGCUUCCAAGUUUUUUUUUUUUAUCAUAAAGGAAUAUACACACACACAAACACAGUUCUUAUGCAGAUCUAGAUCUACGUACGGAGGUUGAGUCGAAUCUGUAACGUUAAUUAAAAUUUAAACAAAGAAUGCGUCUUAGAAUGCAAAAUUUCUAGAAGACAUUGGAAGUAUUUGGAAGGUAAAGCUAGCAAAGAGUGCUUGGCAGUUGGCACAGUAUAGCACAAUCUAGAAAAGGAGGAUAAAAGGUCAUGAAUCAAACUUUAAGAUAAAGGCAGAUAUGAAUAUGAUGCUUCAAAUCUGAACCAAUCAGCACUGAAGUAUGCAUAACCAAAUAUUAUGUAUUAUAAAACGGUUACUUCUCUUCUCCAGAUUUCCAUCUAUCUGUGCCGUUAUUAAUAUUUUGUUACACUAGCCCACUUAUCACCACAAGUUAAAUAGUUAUUUCUUUCUACUCCAAAACAGGGUUUGCAGACAUUUACAUGUAUUGAAAUCUGCCUUUGUUGAUCGACUUGAAUACCUUCCUUAAAUUGAGAUUUUGGUAUUCCACAAUUGAAAAGAACUGAAGGCACAUGAGAAGCUAGCAUGAAUCAUAAUAUGUAUACUUGGCUCAGCUUCAAAGUCUAAAUUGGGGCGUGAACUUUCUGAUAACCGAGUAUUUCUUUGUUAUUACAGCGAGGUGAAUUCUUUUCUUAUUAUGUAGUUGUCCACUGUUGUUUAUUUUGGAAUUAUUAUUUUUAUUAUGUAGUAUGCACUCAUUUUCUCUUCUAUUUUAUUUUUAUCUUAUUUUUUAUAUGUUUCUUAUUUUUCAUUAUAUUAUUUAUCA